RNAcentral lists this ribosomal RNA (252 nucleotides) under uncultured bacterium. Its description in RNAcentral is "partial 16S ribosomal RNA". It matches the Rfam family "Bacterial small subunit ribosomal RNA", at positions 524 to 776 of the family's 1533-position model. The record is from RNAcentral.
UACGUAGGGCCCAAGCGUUGUCCGGAUUUAUUGGGCGUAAAGCGAGCGCAGGUGGUUUAUUAAGUCUGGUGUAAAAGGCAGUGGCUCAACCAUUGUAUGCAUUGGAAACUGGUAGACUUGAGUGCAGGAGAGGAGAGUGGAAUUCCAUGUGUAGCGGUGAAAUGCGUUGAUAUAUGGAGGAACACCGGUGGCGAAAGCGGCUCUCUGGCCUGUAACUGACACUGAGGCUCGAAAGCGUGGGGAGCAAACAGG